This is an RNA transcript of Zea mays, 2156 nucleotides long. RefSeq lists it as uncharacterized. The record is from RefSeq and is marked provisional. Lineage: Eukaryota; Viridiplantae; Streptophyta; Magnoliopsida; Poales; Poaceae. The transcript is spliced from 9 exons.
GCACCGCCGUGUCCUAUCAGGCUAGCGGUGCCCCCGCACCAACUACUCCCCCACCGAACCGAGCACGGCCACGGGGUAUCGAGUCGUGACCCACUGGCGGGUGGGCCGAAAUCAUCGUCGGGCCCACGCGUCGGUGUGCGUGGAGCUGGUGAGCUCGUGAGGCAGCGCGCGGAGGAGUGCGGUGGUAGUGGACAGAGAUAGGGGCGGCGGGGCCCACCCUGCUGGGUCGAGCGGGCGGUGGGGGCCGAGUGGGGACGAGGCACGCGUCUCGCUCGUCUCACCCUUUUUCGUCUCUCCUCUGCCUUUCCCCAUCGUCUCUCCGUCUACACCUCAUCAUAAUCACAGAUUCACAGAGCGCUAGGGAGGAGAGAGGGCUAGGGUUUCGUGCUCCCUCACGCAACGAAUCCGAGCCGGAUCGGGGGGUGCGCGGAGUCACCGGCGGCCCGGCGUUGCCUGGGCUGUGAUACAGUUGCAAUGGCAUCUGUAACUGAUGAGACAGCUAAGAUUGAGGGUUUGACAUCUGCUGCAGCCUUUGUGGAGGGUGGCAUUCAGGACGCAUGUGAUGAUGCAUGCAGCAUUUGCCUUGAGGCUUUCUGUGAGAGUGACCCUUCUGCAUUGACUGGCUGCAAACAUGAGUUCCAUCUCCAAUGCAUUCUUGAAUGGUGCCAGAGAAGUUCACAGUGCCCAAUGUGUUGGCAGCCUAUUACUAUGAAGGAUCCUACCAGUCAGGAGCUGCUUGAGGCAGUAGAGCGUGAGAGGAAUAUAAGAACUAAUCAAACUCGGAACACAACUAUAUUUCAUCAUCCUGCUCUUGGGGAUUUUGAGCUGCAGCAUCUGCCUGUUGGUAAUGAUGCUGAGCUUGAAGAGCGUAUACUGCAGCAUCUAGCUGCUGCUGCUGCAAUGGGAAGGGCACACCAUCUUGGAAGAAGGGAGGGGCACAGGGGACGAUCUGGCUCUCAUGGUCGUCCACAUUUCCUAGUUUUCUCUACACAACCAAAUUCACCUUCUGCUGGCACAAUCUCUUCAUCUUCUGCUCAUAUGGAGGGAGAAAAUGAUUCAAAUCCUGCCACACCUAGAGCUAGCGAGUCAUCUCCACGAGCUAUUCGCAUUGGAGAAGUGGGAAACCAAAGUCCUGGGAUGCUUACCUACGAUGCUGAACAGGAUGCUGUCGUUUCUUCCGGAAAUAGCACUCCUGUAUCGAGUCCUAGGUUUUUUAACAGGAGACACUCCACUGGACAGUCAACUCCAGACAGGGCUGGGCCAUCGGAUAUUCAGUCUUUCUCAGACUCCCUGAAGUCCCGCUUAAAUGCCGUCUCUAUGAAGUACAAAGAAUCUAUUACAAAGAGUACUCGAGGGUGGAAGGAGAGAUUGUUUUCACGUAAUUCAUCCGUGGCGGAUCUUGGUUCUGAAGUGAGAAGAGAAGUUAAUGCUGGAAUUGCGUCCGUAUCACGGAUGAUGGAGCGUCUGGAAACUAGAGGAAAUAGCAGAACAAGUGAUAGCCCGGCAGCAUCCACUUCUGAAGUUCCCUCUGCUACAGAAUCAAGCAAUGAAAGGGUUACAGAGAGCAACUCUGCUGCUGCUGCUGCUGGUGGUGGUACUACCACUACGGGUACCAGCGCUAGCAACGCCUCCGCCCCUUGUGUUGCGACAUCCGGUUCAAAUUAGGACAUGUAAGGGUCUCAGAAAGAAGGCUUACACCUGCAAUUCUUCAUCUUCAAAGGUUUGUGAGCCUGGCGGCAGAGCAGAAGUGCAGUAACAUGAUGCCGUCAUUUUUUUCUCAACCACUGCAUAAACGGCUGCAAGGGGAAAAAAACCAAACGGUGAUUUGAUGUAUUGGCUCGAUAAAAUGGUGGUGCGUGUGGCCUAGGAGAAGUCGGAUUUCAUCUUCUGUUUUCGUCUCUUUGUAAAAAAAAUCGUCUGAGGGCAGAUGUUUACCGGUAUAAAUAACGGAUAUGUCAUCUUCAUAGUACGUGGAUCAGUUAUAAAUAUGAUUGGAACAGCAAAGCUUGCUGCUGUUAUAAAGUUGUACCGUGGCACGAUUUCCUGUUCUGUUCUGUGUGGGUGAAUUGAUGGAUUUUGCUGUACACAAGAUAUGCAUCUUUCCAGGUCUCAUGCCUAUGUAUACAUAUACAUAUUACACGAACCUACCUUGAAUC